Molecule: ribosomal RNA, 253 nt
Filed under: uncultured bacterium
Lineage: Bacteria
Description: partial 16S ribosomal RNA
Rfam family: Bacterial small subunit ribosomal RNA
Source: RNAcentral
UACAGAGGUCCCGAGCGUUGUUCGGAUUUAUUGGGCGUAAAGGGUGUGUAGGUGGCGCGCUAAGUCGGGUGUGAAAUUUCGGAGCUUAACUCCGAAACUGCAUUCGAUACUGGCGUGCUUGAGGACUGGAGAGGAGACUGGAAUUCAUGGUGUAGCAGUGAAAUGCGUAGAGAUCAUGAGGAAGACCAGUGGCGAAGGCGGGUCUCUGGACAGUUCCUGACACUGAGACACGAAGGCCAGGGGAGCAAACGGG